Molecule: long non-coding RNA, 2979 nt
Organism: Daphnia magna
Lineage: Eukaryota; Metazoa; Arthropoda; Branchiopoda; Diplostraca; Daphniidae
Exons: 6
Source: RefSeq, a predicted model, not a curated record
AACUGUUUAUUCCCAUUUCCUAUUGUUUACGUCACAAUCAAAAUCCGUGUAGUCCCAAAACACAUUAACUGCAGUUUUUACAAUAAUUGUUCUACAAUUCAUAAAACAGGUAAAAUGACAGACAGAAGAACAAUUUUUCUACUUCUGUCUCAAUAUGUCUUUAAUGAUAUUGAAUCAAGCACCGACGAGGAAGAUGAUUUGAAUGAUGAAUGAUUAUUGGAACCUAAUUAGUGUAAAAAGUUAUGACAUUACGAUAAUACAUGAAUUUAUGUUUUAAAAUUAUACCAAUAAUUUUUUCAAUGGAAUCAAAGAACUUGGGUUUUUUUUUGGUGUCGGAGGCUGCACUUCCAGUUUGGAAUUUUGAUAGAUAAGACCUGUAUUCUUUACGCAUGUUUUCCCACUUGGUCUUGCAUGUAUUCCCUUUGUCCUGUCCUCGAACAAUGAAAACUUCCUCUAACCCAUCUGCAAUUUGUUUCCAAAUUUGAUUCUUACUUGUUUUGGAAUCGUUUAGGGACUCCCAAUUAUCCUCUAAUAAAGCUUUAGUAGUAGUUAUGUAAUAAAUAUAAAUAGCAUUUUGCAUUAUAUGAAAUGUUAAAACACUUACUUAAAAAUAAUUCUGUUGCCUCGCAAUCAAUUUUAACUUGGAUUGCUGUCUUCUUGCCAUUCCAGCAUUCGUUCUUUGAUAAAUUGUUUAAAUCCCCGUUUUCCACGUUAUUUGCCAUUUUAUUUACUUCUCAAUAUUUCAAAAUAAUGGGAAUCAUGUCUAUCUUACAAGAAAACAGAACUAUAAGGGUGCGUUUUAUCGUCAACUUUUUAGCUCAACCUAAACCUAAAUUGAGCUCAAUCGGUAUUUUUUCGUUAACCAAUUCGUCACGGUUGAGCUCGAUUACCGUUUUAUGGUUAACAAAAAGUUCAACCAAGGUUGUGCUCGACCAAAUUUUGCGAGCUCAACCACAAAAGUUCAACCACAGUCCAGACUGCGGUUGAACUAAAUUCAAGUUGGUUGACCCUCCCACUUUGUAAUAAUUCUUUAUUUUUUUUAAUAUGGCAACCUUUGUUUGUUCACACAGUAGACAGCUUUGUUUAGAUAGGGACGUGGGUCGUGGUACACGUAUGUAAAAAUUUUUCUAUCACAAUGCAUACAAAGUGUGAUGAAGGUGUUUUAAGGCAAAGAGUUAGAGCUGGGAGUUGUGUCAAGCGGCAAAAGACAGUGGAGGAAUUGUUGCUAUUCGAGCCUUCAAGUGAUGAAGGCUCCGAUUGUAGUAGUGUCCAUGAAACUUCUACAAAAGUGGAUGUGAACAAGGAAAUUACUCCACCAUUAGUCCAGCGAAUUUGCUGGAAUAAUGUAAGAACAGCCUCUCAACUUAAAAUCAACGCUGAAGCAACCAAAGUUUUCUUAAAGAUCGUUGAACAUUACUGGCCCAGACUUUGCGACAGCAAAACCAAAAAUUCAGGUCUGUGGCAAGAGAUUGCCAUAAAGAUGCUUGAGAACGGGUUCCAGAUAAAAACACCUGAUCCUGGAAAGUCUGCGCAACAGAAGUGGAAUAACUUAAACAAAGAGUACAAAAAAUUUGUGCUCGCAGCAAAAGGAACUGGAGGGGGAGAAGAUGUUCUUGAUUGCAAGCCCCCAUUCUUUGAUGAAAUUGAAAAAAUUCUUGGAAAGGGUAAUGCAGCAUAUCCCGAAUAUAUUGGUGAUUCUUCGAUUUAAUUCUAAUAAUAAUUUAUGCUAAAAAACAGGGUUGUCAUAUGUAUUUUUAAUCACAUGUAAACAGACAUAAGAAAUACAUCAACUUUAUAGUUGAACUACAGCUCAACGGUGCUCCAGACCACCGUUGACAAAGUUCAACUUUUUCAGUUCAACUUCAACUUUUCGUUGACGCCAAAAUGCGUUUGUCAACUGAAGCCAGUAGAAUUGUUUACGCGAAAACGACGGUUGACCAAAAAAGUUGAACUGAAGGUUGACGCCAAAAUGCGCCCCAAGUUUUGCAACAUGGGGUCGAAUUCUGACUCUCUCAAAGUAACUUACUUUACUUUCAAACGGGCCAAAGUAGCCGUUUUUUACUUUUCUUUCGGCCUUUUUUUCAAAGUGGUAUUCUCAAACAAAUUCGUCAAAAAUAAGUAGCCUACUUCACUUUCAAAACUCAAAAGUUGGUCCCUAACUUUCACGAAAGUUUGAUUUUUGAAAGUGACCUCGCGAGGUCACUUUCGGUAAGUUGGUUUUCAAAGUUAGCUAUUUUCACUGGAAAAUCGCAUGAAAUUUGACAGCGGCAACACUGUAUGUAUACAAUUUGUAUUAUUUGUGUGAAAAAAUACGAUAAUUUGAGAACGGCACGGCUGUAUGUGCAGAAAAAACUACGCGGUUUUGAAUAUUUGUAAACAUGGCUCGUGAAAAUGCCAUAAUAGACGAUUUUUAGAAGAUUUGGCUUAUUUAAGUGAUGAAGAGAACACUAUAUCAAGUGAUGAAGAAGAUAAAAGAGCUAGCAAAAAGAAUCGGAUGUGUAAAUUGCUACCGUUUUAUCAAACACGCAAUGAUAUAUUUGGGUACUUCUCUGAAGACAGAAUUAUGAAGACAUUCAGAUUCGACAGGGAUAGUAUCCAGUUUAUACUGGGUCUUAUUCAACAUCUCCUGCCCAAGAUGAAGAUCAGGGACACAAGAAAUCUAGAGCCGAUUGAUAUGCUUUUGAUUGCGUUGCAGUUUUAUGCAACUUGCUCUUUCCAAACGGUUGUGGGAAAUGUUCUGCGCUAUAGCCAAUCAUCAGUAUGUCGUUCCAUUGCUCGUGUCUCUUUAGCUUUGUGUAUGAUUUCUAACAAUCAUAUACAAUUUCCAGCAACGCUUUUCCAGGUAAAGAAGGAUUUUCACGAAAUCGCUCGCAUGCCAGGGGUCGUUGGGUGUAUUGAUGGAACACACAUCAGGAUUGUCAGACCUAAGAAUUGUUAAUUUCUAUUUCUCGACAAUGGAAUAAACAUAAUGUCACGAUC